UACGUAGGGUGCAAACGUUGUUCGGAAUCACUGGGCAUAAAGAGCGCGUAGGCGGUCUGAUAAGUCCUGUGUGAAAGCCCCCGGCUUAACCGGGGAAUUGCACAGGAUACUGUCAGGCUAGAGUGCAGGAGGGGAGAGCGGAAUUCCUGGUGGAGCGGUGAAAUGCGUAGAUAUCAGGAGGAACGCCGGUGGCGAAAGCGGCUCUCUGGUCUGCAACUGACGCUGAGGUGCGAAAGCUAGGGGAGCAAACGGG
Molecule: ribosomal RNA, 253 nt
Filed under: uncultured bacterium
Lineage: Bacteria
Description: partial 16S ribosomal RNA
Rfam family: Bacterial small subunit ribosomal RNA
Source: RNAcentral